UUCAGCUUUUAUCCCAGUGCAUGCAGAACCUUGGUCACACUUUGCCUCAUCCAAGAUGUUAUCAUCCUAAAGCCACGCCUGGUUCCUCUAGAAGAAAAGCACAGUUCCUGGCAGAGUUUUUUCUUGUACAGAUGUUCCUCUGGAAGAAACAAAUCACCAGAUCACAGGCAACUGAGAGGGAGCUGCAGUCUGAAGUUCCACCACCAUCACUCUGCUUCUGACACCAGGGUGCCUUUGGAGUACCAACAGUUAUUUUGCCAGAGCAGCUUCCAAAUGCCAAAGGCAAAACUGAUUCCCUCUGAUACCCAACUGCUAAAGUCCUGCUUCAAAUUCAAGGACUGGCAUUGGUAUGCAGCACUGAAAAGACAUAAAGUGAGCCCUGGGGCCACAGAUCAUGUUUGCUGCAGUGGCCCAAAGAAACACAGAGCUGUGCAGCAUGAUCAGGAGGUGCUGAUGCAACUAGGGCUGUGCAAGCAGCUGGCUGGGAGGAAGAGCUACACUGAGGCCUCAGCAAGGUGGUGAUUUCAUUUCUGAUUGCUAAGUAGUGUUCAAAAAAAGAGGCAACGUUGGAAAAACAAGCAACCAAAUGAAUAAAUAACAGGGCAUCUUC
Long non-coding RNA from Pogoniulus pusillus (Red-fronted tinkerbird), 610 nucleotides. RefSeq lists it as uncharacterized. The record is from RefSeq and is a predicted model, not a curated record. NCBI's taxonomy places the organism in Eukaryota, Metazoa, Chordata, Aves, Piciformes, Lybiidae. The transcript has 2 exons.